UGGCGUCGCGUGCGCUUAGAAAGUGAUUUAAGUCACGCGCACCUGGAGUACUUUUUGUGAGCUUUGACGUGUGUAUUUUGCGAGACUUAUAUGUGAAUAAUAUCAGGCGUUUUGUAUCAUAUGUAUCAAUAGACCGUUGCUGACCAAAACAUCCGAAGAAAAUCACUCUAAAGUCACUUAUGUGAGUAUUAAAUGUGUUUAUUUAAAUUAGGUAAUUUCCAUGUUUCAUCGAUUAUUUUGUUAAUUCCAGUGUGACAAAGGCGGGAAGAGGGCUAAGCGGAACAAAAUGAACAUAAUGAAUAUACAUCUGUUAUGAUACUAUGCUCGUUAUUUCCAAAAGUUCUACUUGGAAAUUGACAAAAUUUUACAAGAGAUCUUAUACAUUCUUGAAGAAAAAAAACAUGGUACUGUUCUUGAAAUAGAAUCAGACCCCAAGUCAUAUUCAGAAAUACAAAGCCAAAGGACUGUAUAUAUUGCUUUGCGGUAUGUGCAGCUAUAUUCUUGCUUAUCAACGGGUACAUCAUCUCUGAUAAUUAGAUCCGGAAACCAAUAUUUCAAAUGGGUUGACGAUGAAUGUGAUAAAAGACAAUGAAUGAUGAUGAAUAAGCGGAUGCAGAGAUUUCUCUCUUCCAUGACCCUUGACAGGAACUUUAUGCAUCUAAAAAG
Long non-coding RNA from Pieris rapae (cabbage white), 666 nucleotides. RefSeq lists it as uncharacterized. The transcript is spliced from 4 exons. The record is from RefSeq and is a predicted model, not a curated record. Lineage: Eukaryota; Metazoa; Arthropoda; Insecta; Lepidoptera; Pieridae.